UUAAAAAGCUCGUAGUUGAACCUUGGGCCUGGCUGGCCGGUCCGUCUCAUCGCGUGUACUGGUCCGGCUGGGCCUUUCCUUCUGGCUAGGCACAUGCCCUUCACUGGGUGUGUGUCCGAACCAGGACUUUUACUUUGAAAAAAUUAGAGUGUUCAAAGCAGGCAUAUGCUCGAAUACAUUAGCAUGGAAUAAUAGACUAGGACGUGUGGUUCUAUU
RNAcentral lists this ribosomal RNA (216 nucleotides) under uncultured Ascomycota. Its description in RNAcentral is "partial 18S ribosomal RNA". It matches the Rfam family "Eukaryotic small subunit ribosomal RNA", at positions 619 to 841 of the family's 1831-position model. The record is from RNAcentral. Lineage: Eukaryota; Fungi; Ascomycota.